GAGUACCUGCAGCCGGUUCCACCUGCGCUUCUCAGCUGUGCGCCUCAAGGAAUUUGCACUCGCGUCAGCUAAUUCGGGUUGGAUUUCUAGCGUUUCACAUACAGGCUCUAGACUCAUGCACAAUUGCAUUAAUACGUUGGUGUUUGAUAAACUAGGGCUGAAGGAGUUCCAUCAGUGAAGAGAGAAGCCGCGUGGCCUGAGGAUGCAGGGCACUGGUCAUCUGGACACGAGCCAUUUCUUAGCAUUAUGAGAUUUUAGAAGCAUGUUCUUUUUCUUUUUCUUUCUUUUUUUUUUUUUGAGAAGGAGUCUCACUCUGUCGCCCAGGCUGGAGUGCAGUGGCGCGAUCUCGGCUCACUGCAAACUCCGCCUCCCGGGUUCACGCCAUUCUCCUGCCUCAGCCUCCCGAGUAGCUGGGACUACAGGCGCCCGCCACCACGCCCAGCUAAUUUUUUUGUAUUUUAGUAGAGACGGGGUUUCACUGGGUUAGCCAGGAUGGUCUUGAUCUCCUGACCUCGUGAUCCGCCCGCCUUGGCCUCCCAAAGUGCUGGGAUUCCAGGCUUGAGCCACCGUGCCCGGCCUAGAAACAUAUUCUUACUCUGCCAGGGCCCAGGGAUAGAUGAGGCUCUGCUGUUGGGAUACCGUUUCACCAGCAGAGAUUAAUUGGAGAAUGUGUGAUUUUUUUUCCCUUUGGAAAUAAUUUCUUCUUUUUUUUUUUUUUGACAGGGUUUCUUUCUGUCAUCCAGGCUGGAGUGCAGUGGUAUGAGCAUAGCUCACUGCAGCCUCGACCUCCUGGGCUCAAGUGAUCCUCCCACCUCAGCCUCCCAAGUAGCUGGGACUACAGGCAGGCACCACCAUGCCCGGCUAAUUUUUAAAUUUUUGGUAGAGACGGGGUCUUGCUAUGUCACCCAGGCUGCCUCAAACUCCUGAGCUCAAGCGCUCCUUCUGCCUCAGCCUCCCAAAGUGCUGGGAUUACAGGCGUGAGCCACCGCACCUGGCAGGAGUAAUUUCUCAGUGCAUCUCUGACGGGGAGGUUAAUGAGGAAAGGACACCUGGUUUGAAGGCUUCUCCGUGUCUGUCCGUGGGCGCUGCUGAUCUGAGCCAAGGCACCAUUCCGCAGGCAUGCCUGAAAUGACUCCCGUGGCUGUCGUGGUGCCAUCUGGAGAGCAUUUGCUCACUGUAACGGUCCCGUCACACUUAUCUGAUGAGGAUCUGUUGGUUGACUUUGACAGUGAUAAAUGAACACAGCCUACCUGGGUGUUUUUGCAUUUACAGUUUGGGGGUUUAAAGUGCUGGCUAGAAGCUGACGGAGUAUGUGUAUGCAAGUGUGCGUGCAAAUGUGUCUGUGCUUGCAUACAAGAGUGUGUGUUUGGAGAAUUGGAUUUGAAAAUUCUAGCUCAGCUCUUUGGGGUAGUGUUUGAUCUGAACUCAAUGAAAGGCAGAGGGCCCCGGACUUUCCUGGGAUGAUGGGAGCUGGGCACCCCGGAUGAGGCUUGGGUGUGAGUAGGAGCGGGAUGGGCCACUGAAGAGAAGACAGAGUGGGUCUGUAGGGCCAGCCCGAGGUACCCACAGUGGAGGGUCUGCAAGCUGAUUUGGGAGGUGGCGUUUUAUACCUGUAGUCACCUUCUAUUUUAGAUAGGAUUUCACCUUCACACUUAAGAGAAACUGCCAAGAAGAACGCCGCCGCUCAGGUUUAUCUGGUAGAAUAAGCUGUUUGAACAAAGGUCUGGAGGUUGCACAAUCCUGUGUCAUUCUGGAUUUGUCUUGGGGUUGGGAGUCAACGAUACUUCUUAUGCCGUCAUUUCUCCGGCCGUGUGAAGUUGCCACCUCGUGAAUGGUAAUAAGUUAGUGUGUCUAAAUGCACUUCGAAAUCCCAGAAUAAAAAAGGCCAGGCCCUGUCUUUUCCUUCUCUAAGCACCAUCCUUGCUUAGCAGAGACACGGCUGCGCCUCUCGGGCUCUGGGGCAAUAUUCUGCUUAUAAUGUUUCAAGAGGUUCAGAGCGUGCCGGCCUCAUGCUCCGUGAGAGCCUUGCCCUGGGUCAGCAGGGGCGGCUGGGCUUGACUCGAGAAUUCCCACGGGGCCCGAGGGAAGACCAGAGCGAGAGGGAGGAGUGUGUGGAGCCCUAUGUGGCCUGUGAUGUCAGGGUGGCAUCCAGGCCCGCCUGGAUGGGGGAGGGAGACAGCAGAGCUGCUACCUGCUCACCCCAGACCCAGGGGCCCAGGGAGGAGCGGCCUUCCAGCCUGUCUCCUGCCCCUGGGCUGGAGUUCAUCUUGUAGGCAAAUUUGGAAUAGGAACCUUGCAAAUGCUUUCUUCACUCGUUUAAAUAAUAAUGAUAAGAAUAUGGCUGUGGGAGGCGGCUUAUGCCUAUAAUCCCACCAUUCUGGGGGCCCAAGGCAGGAGUAUUGCUUGAGCCCAGAAGUUCAAGACCAGCCUGGGCAACAUAGUGGGACCUGGUCUCUACAAAAGCUAAAAGAAAAAGCUGUGCAUGGCGGUAGGCACCUGUAGUCCCGGCUACUUGGGAGGCCGAGGUGGGAGGAUUGCUUGAGCCUGGGAGGUCAAGGCUGCUGUGAGGCAUGAUUGCACCACUGUAUUCCAGCCUGGGUGAUAGAGCAAGAUCCUGUCUUUAAAAAAAAAAAAAAAAA
Long non-coding RNA from Macaca fascicularis (crab-eating macaque), 2639 nucleotides. The record is from Ensembl. Lineage: Eukaryota; Metazoa; Chordata; Mammalia; Primates; Cercopithecidae.